CCAGAGAUGGAUUGGUGCCUUCGGGAACUCUGACACAGGUGCUGCAUGGCUGUCGUCAGCUCGUGUCGUGAGAUGUUGGGUUAAGUCCCGUAACGAGCGCAACCCUUGUCCUUAGUUACCAGCACGUUAUGGUGGGCACUCUAAGGAGACUGCCGGUGACAAACCGGAGGAAGGUGGGAUGACGUCAAGUCAUCAUGGCCCUUACGGCCUGGGCUACACACGUGCUACAAUGGUCGGUACAAAGGGUUGCCAAGCCGCGAGGUGGAGCUAAUCCCAUAAAACCGAUCGUAGUCCGGAUCGCAGUCCGCAACUCGACUGCGUGAAGUCGGAAUCGCUAGUAAUCGUGAAUCAGAAUGUCACGGUGAAUACGUUCCCGGGCCUU
RNAcentral lists this ribosomal RNA (382 nucleotides) under uncultured Pseudomonas sp. RNAcentral describes it as "bacterial SSU rRNA". It matches the Rfam family "Bacterial small subunit ribosomal RNA", at positions 1000 to 1382 of the family's 1533-position model. The record is from RNAcentral. Lineage: Bacteria; Pseudomonadati; Pseudomonadota; Gammaproteobacteria; Pseudomonadales; Pseudomonadaceae.